GAUGAACGCUGGCGGCGUGCUUAACACAUGCAAGUCGAACGGAAAGGCCCUGCUUUUGUGGCGUGCUCGAGUGGCGAACGGGUGAGUAACACGUGAGUAACCUCCCCUUGACUUUGGGAUAACUUUAGGAAACUGGGGCUAUAACCCGAUAGGAUCUCCUGCUCCAUGGUGGGGGUUGGAAAGUUUCGGCGGUGGGGGAUGGACUCGCGGGUUAUGCGCUUGUUUGUGGGGUAGUGGCUUACCAAGGGUUUGACGGGUAGCCGGCCUGAGAGGGUUACCGGGGACAUGGGGACUACGAGACGGACCAGAAGCCAACGGGAGGCAGUAGUGGGAAAUAUGACACAAUGGGCGGACGCGUGAGGCAGCGACGCCGGGUGCGUGAUGACGGCCUUCGAGUUGUGAACCGCUUUGGCCUGAGACGAGGCGUGCGUGACGGUAAUGGAUAAAGAAGCACCGGCUAACUACGUG
RNAcentral lists this ribosomal RNA (468 nucleotides) under uncultured bacterium. RNAcentral describes it as "partial 16S ribosomal RNA". It matches the Rfam family "Bacterial small subunit ribosomal RNA", at positions 28 to 507 of the family's 1533-position model. The record is from RNAcentral.